GAUUCUUUUCAAGAACCGAUUCUACCUAUCGCGGAUCCGAAGGAUGUUGUCAUCCCACAACAUAUAUCGGAUUUGAUACUAAUUCCUCCAUACUGUAGACGACCACCAGGAAGACCAACAACCAAAAGGAUUCCAUCUAGAGGUGAAAACCGGAAAAAGAGACAGAAAAGACUUAUUCCGAAUCAGUGCACACGAUGUAGACAAGCAGGUCAUAACAAGAAGACUUGCAAAAAUCCUAUUUAGUUCUCCUCAUAAGCUUUAUGUCUCCGCGAAGACAGUGUACGUUUAUGUGUGGACAGUGUGUACCAAAGUGUUGUGACGGUGUACGUACGUUUAAUGUUUGCCAUCGUAUAACUAUGUACGUUUUCUGAGUGUACGUUUUUGUUAGUGUACGUGUUUGUUGUGUCUGUGUACGUAUAAUCUUCAUGCAAUAAACGGUUACAAACGGUUACACACA
Arabidopsis lyrata subsp. lyrata is the source of this 457-nucleotide long non-coding RNA. RefSeq lists it as uncharacterized. Lineage: Eukaryota; Viridiplantae; Streptophyta; Magnoliopsida; Brassicales; Brassicaceae. The record is from RefSeq and is a predicted model, not a curated record. The transcript is spliced from 2 exons.